GGGUUAAUAAAUAAAAUAAAUCAUUGAAACAAAAUCAAGGGCUAAAAUACAAUGAGCACAAAUCAAAGAGGACUAAAAAACAAAUAAACCAAAUGCCAAAACGAAAUGUUUAACCGCGGACCAAUUUGAAACUGCGUGCAAAUUAUAGGGGAAAAUUAAAGAAAAAAAGAAAUCUGAACGGGACUCAAUCAAAUAGCACCAAAACAAGAAGGGACCAAACGCGAAAAUUCUCCAUUCAGAAGCAAAACGCGCGGAUCCCCCAUUGCGGGUCGGGUCAACACGCGAGUCUGCUCCCUCCCAAACGAUGCCGUUUUAGUUUGAUUACUUAACCCAAAAAAUCUACUCAAAGAAUACUUUUAACCCUUUUUUAAAAAAAAAAACCCUAAACUCUCUCUUCUCCCUCACUUUCCCCUUGCUUCUAGCCAAAAAAAAAAAGAGGCUAAUACCAAGCCUUCAAUCGCCCGCUGGAAACCAUCAAAGCAAGGCCCUCCAACGGUGUGAGUAUGAUGCGCGGUAAGCCUCUUCUCCUCUCUCUGAUCCGUUGCAGGUGUUGUGGGUCCAAAUGUAAAAAAGGAAAAAGAGGAAAAACAGAGCAAAAUUAUAGUAAAUAAUCACCUUUGAAAUAUUCUUGGUUGCUUUCUAUUGAUUUUUGUAUGUUUUUCGUGUACAAUUUCUCUCAAAAAAAAAGAAAAGACUUCCCUUUUACCAUUAAAAAUCGAAGGCUUUUAUAGCCAAAAUACAAGCAGUUUCUACUAUUUUUGCUCAUGUUGUAGGUCGUGAAGACAUGAAAGUGGAGCACACGAACGUGGGGUAGGCAACGCGUGAGACGGGGAUUGUGCGAGGGGCGUGCGUGGAGGCUGCUGGUGAAGGCCGCGGCAUGAAGCAAAAGGAGACCUAGGGUUUCUGAAACCCCCAAAGCUUUGGGCCUAUCGGGCCUUUAUAUUUUUAUUUUUUUGGGCCUAAAUCUGGACUGUUAUGUUUUUUAUUUUAUUGUUUUGUAUGUGUACGGGCCCGGACAAAAUUUAGACAUUACAGAUAUCAUGUGAUGCUGUUGUUUAUAUAGAAUCAGUCAUUGGUAUUAUAAGAUCAUUAUAUUCUCUAUUAUACAAAAUCUCUUUUAAUGUAAUUUGUCCUCAAUGCAGGUGGAAUUGACUUCAUCUUUCUAGCCUUAACUCUUUUUUUAAUGUAAAUUGUUUCUCAAUUUUAGUGGUACUAACUUCAUCCUUCUAGGACGGCUUUGGUUUUUUUUUUUUAAUGUAAUUUCAAAGAG
Molecule: long non-coding RNA, 1270 nt
Filed under: Gossypium barbadense (sea-island cotton)
Lineage: Eukaryota; Viridiplantae; Streptophyta; Magnoliopsida; Malvales; Malvaceae
Description: long non-coding RNA (GBAR_LNC000356)
Source: RNAcentral